GUGUCAGCCGCCGCGGUAAUACGGAGUGUGCAAGCGUUACUCGGAAUCACUGGGCAUAAAGCGCGCGUAGGCCGGACCUCAAGUCGGUUGUGAAAUCCCUCAGCUCAACUGAGGAGCUGCAGCCGAUACUGCGGUCCUUGAGGACAAAAGGGGAGAGCGGAACUUCUGGUGAAGCGGUGAAAUGCGUAGAUAUCAGAAGGAACGCCGGUGGCGAAAGCGGCUCUCUGGUUUGUUUCUGACGCUGAGGCGCGAAAGCUUGGGUAGCAAACGGGAUUAGAUACCCGCGUAGUCC
This 292-nucleotide ribosomal RNA is filed under the name uncultured bacterium. RNAcentral describes it as "partial 16S ribosomal RNA". It matches the Rfam family "Bacterial small subunit ribosomal RNA", at positions 505 to 796 of the family's 1533-position model. The record is from RNAcentral.